Molecule: ribosomal RNA, 586 nt
Filed under: Aquabacterium sp. BvIRR174
Lineage: Bacteria; Pseudomonadati; Pseudomonadota; Betaproteobacteria; Burkholderiales; Sphaerotilaceae
Description: bacterial SSU rRNA
Rfam family: Bacterial small subunit ribosomal RNA
Source: RNAcentral
ACGGGUGAGUAAUACAUCGGAACGUGCCCAAUAGUGGGGGAUAGCCCGGCGAAAGCCGGAUUAAUACCGCAUACGACCUGAGGGUGAAAGCAGGGGAUCGCAAGACCUUGCGCUAUUGGAGCGGCCGAUGUCAGAUUAGCUAGUUGGUGGGGUAAAGGCCUACCAAGGCAACGAUCUGUAGUUGGUCUGAGAGGACGACCAGCCACACUGGGACUGAGACACGGCCCAGACUCCUACGGGAGGCAGCAGUGGGGAAUUUUGGACAAUGGGCGCAAGCCUGAUCCAGCAAUGCCGCGUGCAGGAAGAAGGCCUUCGGGUUGUAAACUGCUUUUGUCAGGGAAGAAAUCUUCUGGGCUAAUACCUCGGGAGGAUGACGGUACCUGAAGAAUAAGCACCGGCUAACUACGUGCCAGCAGCCGCGGUAAUACGUAGGGUGCGAGCGUUAAUCGGAAUUACUGGGCGUAAAGCGUGCGCAGGCGGCUUUGCAAGACAGAUGUGAAAUCCCCGGGCUUAACCUGGGAACUGCAUUUGUGACUGCAAGGCUAGAGUACGGUAGAGGGGGAUGGAAUUCCGCGUGUAGCAGUGA